CCCUUAGAUGUUCUGGGCCGCACGCGCGCUACACUGUUCGACGCAGCGAGUCUUAACCUUGACCGAAAGGUUUGGGUAAUCUUCAGCAAAGUCGAACGUGAUGGGGAUCGAUCAUUGCAAUUAUUGAUCGUGAACGAGGAAUUCCUAGUAAGUGCAAGUCAUCAGCUUGCGCUGAUUACGUCCCUGCCCUUAGUACACACCGCCCGUCGCUACUACCGAUUGAAUGGUUUAGUGAGAUCUCUGGAUUGACGCUGGCUAGGGGGCGACCCUUGGCCAGACUGCUCGAGAAACUGCUCAAACUUGAUCAUUUAGAGGAAGUAAAAGUCGUAACA
This 332-nucleotide ribosomal RNA is filed under the name uncultured eukaryote. RNAcentral describes it as "partial 18S ribosomal RNA". It matches the Rfam family "Eukaryotic small subunit ribosomal RNA", at positions 1470 to 1796 of the family's 1831-position model. The record is from RNAcentral.